This 449-nucleotide ribosomal RNA is filed under the name uncultured bacterium. Its description in RNAcentral is "partial 16S ribosomal RNA". It matches the Rfam family "Bacterial small subunit ribosomal RNA", at positions 29 to 523 of the family's 1533-position model. The record is from RNAcentral.
AGCGAACGCUGGCGGCAGGCCUAACACAUGCAAGUCGAACGGAUCCUUCGGGAUUAGUGGCGGACGGGUGAGUAACACGUGGGAACGUGCCCUUUGGUUCGGAACAACUCAGGGAAACUUGAGCUAAUACCGGAUGUGCCCUUCGGGGGAAAGAUUUAUCGCCACUGGAGCGGCCCGCGUCUGAUUAGCUAGUUGGUGAGGUAAAGGCUCACCAAGGCGACGAUCAGUAGCUGGUCUGAGAGGAUGAUCAGCCACAUUGGGACUGAGACACGGCCCAAACUCCUACGGGAGGCAGCAGUGGGGAAUCUUGCGCAAUGGGCGAAAGCCUGACGCAGCCAUGCCGCGUGAAUGAUGAAGGUCUUAGGAUUGUAAAAUUCUUUUACCGGGGACGAUAAUGACGGUACCCGGAGAAGAAGCCCCGGCUAACUUCGUGCCAGCCGCCGCAGUAA